GACGAACGCUGGCGGCGUGCUUAACACAUGCAAGUCGAACGGAAAGGCCCUGCUUUUGUGCGGUGCUCGAGUGGCGAACGGGUGAGUAACACGUGAGUAACCUGCCCUUGUCUUUGGGAUAACUUCAGGAGACUGGGGCUAAUACCGGAUAGGAGCUCCUGCUGCAUGGUGGGGGUUGGAAAGUUUCGGCGGUUGGGGAUGGACUCGCGGCUUAUCAGCUUGUUGGUGGGGUAGUGGCUUACCAAGGCUUUGACGGGUAGCCGGCCUGAGAGGGUGACCGGCGUCAUGGGGACUACGGUACGGCCCAGACUCCUACGGGAGGCAGCAGUGGGGAAUAUUGCACAAUGGGCGGAAGCCUGAUGCAGCGACGCCGCGUGCGGGAUGACGGCCUUCGGGUUGUAAACCGCUUUCGCCGGUGACGAAGCGUGAGUGACGGUAAUGGGUAAAGAAGCACCGGCUAACUACGUG
This 468-nucleotide ribosomal RNA is filed under the name uncultured bacterium. RNAcentral describes it as "partial 16S ribosomal RNA". It matches the Rfam family "Bacterial small subunit ribosomal RNA", at positions 28 to 507 of the family's 1533-position model. The record is from RNAcentral.